RNAcentral lists this ribosomal RNA (571 nucleotides) under uncultured Actinomycetes bacterium. RNAcentral describes it as "SSU rRNA". It matches the Rfam family "Bacterial small subunit ribosomal RNA", at positions 242 to 806 of the family's 1533-position model. Lineage: Bacteria; Bacillati; Actinomycetota; Actinomycetes. The record is from RNAcentral.
CAGCUUGUUGGUGGGGUAAUGGCUCACCAAGGCGACGAUCCGUAGCUGGUCUGAGAGGACGAUCAGCCACACUGGGACUGAGACACGGCCCAGACUCCUACGGGAGGCAGCAGUGGGGAAUCUUGCGCAAUGGGCGAAAGCCUGACGCAGCGACGCCGCGUGCGGGAAGAAGGCCUUCGGGUUGUAAACCGCUUUCAGGAGGGACGAAGCCACUCGGGUUAAUAGCCCAGAGGGUGACGGUACCUCCAGAAGAAGCCCCGGCUAACUACGUGCCAGCAGCCGCGGUAAUACGUAGGGGGCUAGCGUUGUCCGGAUUUAUUGGGCGUAAAGAGCGUGUAGGCGGCCAGAUAGGUCUGCUGUGAAAACUCGAGGCUCAACCUCGAGCUGUCGGCGGAAACCAUUUGGCUAGAGUCCGGAAGAGGAAAGUGGAAUUCCUGGUGUAGCGGUGAAAUGCGCAGAUAUCAGGAAGAACACCCGUGGCGAAGGCGGCUUUCUGGGACGGUACUGACGCUGAGACGCGAAAGCGUGGGGAGCGAACAGGAUUAGAUACCCUGGUAGUCCACGCUGUAAA